AUUGAACGCUGGCGGCAUGCCUUACACAUGCAAGUCGAACGGUAACAGGGAGCUUGCUCCGCUGACGAGUGGCGAACGGGUGAGUAAUGUAUCGGAACGUACCUUUUAGUGGGGGAUAACGUAGCGAAAGUUACGCUAAUACCGCAUAUUCUCUGAGGAGGAAAGCAGGGGACCUUCGGGCCUUGCGCUAAUAGAGCGGCUGAUAUCAGAUUAGCUAGUUGGUGAGGUAAAGGCUCACCAAGGCGACGAUCUGUAGCGGGUCUGAGAGGAUGAUCCGCCACACUGGAACUGGGACACGGCCCAGACUCCUACGGGAGGCAGCAGUGGGGAAUUUUGGACAAUGGGGGCAACCCUGAUCCAGCCAUGCCGCGUGAGUGAAGAAGGCCUUCGGGUUGUAAAGCUCUUUCGGCCGGGAAAAAAUCGCAUGGGUUAAUACCCUGUGUGGAUGAUGGUACCGGAAUAAGAAGCACCGGCUAACUACGUGCCAGCAGCCGCCGUAA
This 500-nucleotide ribosomal RNA is filed under the name uncultured bacterium. RNAcentral's name for it is "partial 16S ribosomal RNA". It matches the Rfam family "Bacterial small subunit ribosomal RNA", at positions 30 to 523 of the family's 1533-position model. The record is from RNAcentral.